UCGCCGAUAGCUCAGCGGUAGAGCUCUGGACUGUUAAUCGAGCGUCCGUUGGUUCGAAUCCAACUCGGGGAGCCA
This 75-nucleotide transfer RNA is filed under the name Rhodococcus sp. (in: high G+C Gram-positive bacteria). RNAcentral describes it as "Rhodococcus sp. tRNA-Asn". It matches the Rfam family "tRNA". Rfam says of the family: Transfer RNA (tRNA) molecules are approximately 80 nucleotides in length. Their secondary structure includes four short double-helical elements and three loops (D, anti-codon, and T loops). Further hydrogen bonds mediate the characteristic L-shaped molecular structure. tRNAs have two regions of fundamental functional importance: the anti-codon, which is responsible for specific mRNA codon recognition, and the 3' end, to which the tRNAs corresponding amino acid is attached (by aminoacyl-tRNA synthetases). tRNAs cope with the degeneracy of the genetic code in two manners: having more than one tRNA (with a specific anti-codon) for a particular amino acid; and 'wobble' base-pairing, i.e. permitting non-standard base-pairing at the 3rd anti-codon position. The record is from RNAcentral. Lineage: Bacteria; Bacillati; Actinomycetota; Actinomycetes; Mycobacteriales; Nocardiaceae. RNAcentral also lists the same sequence under 1 other name.